AUUGAACGCUGGCGGCAGGCCUAACACAUGCAAGUCGAGCGGCAGCGGGAAAGUAGCUUGCUACUUUUGCCGGCGAGCGGCGGACGGGUGAGUAAUGCCUGGGAAAUUGCCCAGUCGAGGGGGAUAACAGUUGGAAACGACUGCUAAUACCGCAUACGCCCUACGGGGGAAAGCAGGGGACCUUCGGGCCUUGCGCGAUUGGAUAUGCCCAGGUGGGAUUAGCUAGUUGGUGAGGUAAUGGCUCACCAAGGCGACGAUCCCUAGCUGGUCUGAGAGGAUGAUCAGCCACACUGGAACUGAGACACGGUCCAGACGCCUACGGGAGGCAGCAGUGGGGAAUAUUGCACAAUGGGGGAAACCCUGAUGCGGCCAUGCCGCGUGUGUGAAGAAGGCCUUCGGGUUGUAAAGCACUUUCAGCGAGGAGGAAAGGUUGAUGCCUAAUACGUAUCAACUGUGACGUUACUCGCAGAAGAAGCACCGGCUAACUCCGUGCCAGCAGCCGCGGUAA
RNAcentral lists this ribosomal RNA (508 nucleotides) under uncultured bacterium. Its description in RNAcentral is "partial 16S ribosomal RNA". It matches the Rfam family "Bacterial small subunit ribosomal RNA", at positions 30 to 523 of the family's 1533-position model. The record is from RNAcentral.